CUUAUUUUAAUAAGUCAAAACUUUCAACAACGGAUCUCUUGGUUCUGGCAUCGAUGAAGAACGCAGCGAAAUGCGAUAAGUAAUGUGAAUUGCAGAAUUCAGUGAAUCAUCGAAUCUUUGAACGCACAUUGCGCCCAUUAGUAUUCUAGUGGGCAUGC
Molecule: ribosomal RNA, 158 nt
Filed under: Pestalotiopsis sp. 1T92CB
Lineage: Eukaryota; Fungi; Ascomycota; Sordariomycetes; Amphisphaeriales; Sporocadaceae
Description: 5.8S ribosomal RNA
Rfam family: 5.8S ribosomal RNA (bases 19-158)
About the family: 5.8S ribosomal RNA (5.8S rRNA) is a component of the large subunit of the eukaryotic ribosome. It is transcribed by RNA polymerase I as part of the 45S precursor that also contains 18S and 28S rRNA.
Source: RNAcentral